This 468-nucleotide ribosomal RNA is filed under the name uncultured bacterium. Its description in RNAcentral is "partial 16S ribosomal RNA". It matches the Rfam family "Bacterial small subunit ribosomal RNA", at positions 28 to 507 of the family's 1533-position model. The record is from RNAcentral.
GACGAACGCUGGCGGCGUGCUUAACGCAUGCAAGUCGAACGGAAAGGCCCUGCUUUUGUGGGGUGCUCGAGUGGCGAACGGGUGAGUAACACGUGAGUAACCUGCCCUUGACUUUGGGAUAACUUCAGGAAACUGGGGCUAAUACCGGAUAGGAGCUCCUGCUGCAUGGUGGGGGUUGGAAAGUUUCGGCGGUUGGGGAUGGACUCGCGGCUUAUCAGCUUGUUGGUGGGGUAGUGGCUUACCAAGGCUUUGACGGGUAGCCGGCCUGAGAGGGUGACCGGCCACAUUGGGACUGAGAUACGGCCCAGACUCCUACGGGAGGCAGCAGUGGGGAAUAUUGCACAAUGGGCGGAAGCCUGAUACAGCAACGCCGCGUGCGGGAUGACGGCCUUCGGGUUGUAAACCGCUUUCGCCUGUGACGAAGCGUGAGUGACGGUAAUGGGUAAAGAAGCACCGGCUAACUACGUG